RNAcentral lists this ribosomal RNA (1380 nucleotides) under Triticum aestivum (bread wheat). RNAcentral's name for it is "partial small subunit ribosomal RNA". Lineage: Eukaryota; Viridiplantae; Streptophyta; Magnoliopsida; Poales; Poaceae. The record is from RNAcentral.
AUGUCUGUGAGCAAGCAAUGGACGCGGGUGCGGACGCUCGGCCGCGGCGCGUCGGGGGCAGAGGUGUUCCUCGCGGCGGACGACGCCUCCGGGCAGCUCUUCGCGGUCAAGUCCGCCGUGGGGGCAGCGUGCGCGGCGGCGCUCAGGAGGGAGCAGAUGGUGAUGGCCGGCCUGAGCUCCCCGCGCGUCGUAUCCUGCAUCGGCGGCCGCGGCGCCCGCGACGGCUCCUACCAGCUCUUCCUCGAGUUCGCCCCCGGCGGCUCGCUGGUGGAGCAGGUGAUGAGCAACGGGGGCCUCGACGAGCGCGCCGUCCGCGACUACGCGGCCGAUGUGGCGGCCGCGCUCGCGUACCUCCACGGCGCUGGGAUGGUGCACGGGGACGUCAAGGCGAGGAACGUCGUGAUCGGCGCCGACGGCCGCGCCAAGCUCGCGGAUUUCGGCUGCGCGAGGAAAGUGGGCGCCGGCGUGCCGAUCAUCGGCGGCACGCCCGCGUUCAUGGCGCCGGAGGUGGCGCGCGGCGAGGAGCAGGGCCCCGCGGCCGACGUCUGGGCGCUCGGAUGCACGGUCAUCGAGAUGGCCACCGGCCGCGCCCCGUGGACCGGCAUGGACGGCAACGCGCUCGCCGCGCUGCAUCGGAUCGGGUACACCGAGGCUGUUCCCGAGCUGCCCCAAUGGCUGUCCGCUGAGGCGAAGGACUUCUUGGCCAGAUGCCUUGUCAGGCAGGCCAACGACCGGUGCACGGCGGCACAGCUGCUGGAGCAUCCGUUCUUGGCCGCCGCCGUCGUCGACGCGAAGGCAGAAGCCGUGGAGAGCAAAUGGGUGUCGCCGAAGAGCACGCUGGACGCGGCAUUCUGGGAGUCAGAGUCCGACGCCGACGAGGCGGACGACGAGCCGUCGCACGGCGCGGCCGAGAGGAGGAUCAGCGCAUUGGCCUGCCCUGCUUCGGCGCUCCCGGACUGGGACUCGGACGAGGGAUGGAUCGACGUGCUCUCCGGGCCGACGGAAGCAGCGGACGCAGUUGCCGCGCCGGCCAAGGAGAGGACUGGCAUCAUCGUGCACGACGCGAUCACCAGUGAAGAGGAGUCGAUCGGCGCAGUGUUCGGUGCUCUCGACAUUACCGUGGACGUGGAGCACGGCAGCGUGCUCAACGCAGGGCAAGAAACAUAUGCUGAUGAGUCAGUAGUAGGGCACAGUAGGCAUCAGCUCAUACUCGUGCUUCUAGCAUCUCACCAGUUAGUGUCAUGUAAAUUGUUACUACUGUUAUUUGGCAACAGAAUCAGUAAUGCAAUCGAUUUCGUUCAUGCCAAAGCACUCUGCUUCGCCAGCGCUGCUCCUCUGUUUAUCUGCUCAUACUCGUGCUCCCCGUUGCGACACGAUUGA